ACGCUGGCGGCAUGCCUAACACAUGCAAGUCGAACGAGACCUUCGGGUCUAGUGGCGCACGGGUGCGUAACACGUGGGAAUUUGCCUCGGGGUAUGGAAUAACUCAGGGAAACUUGAGCUAAUACCAUAUAAUGUCUUCGGACCAAAGAUUUAUCGCCCUGAGAUAAGCCCGCGUAGGAUUAGGUAGUUGGUGGGGUAAAGGCCUACCAAGCCGACGAUCCUUAGCUGGUCUGAGAGGAUGAUCAGCCACACUGGGACUGAGACACGGCCCAGACUCCUACGGGAGGCAGCAGUGGGGAAUAUUGGACAAUGGGCGAAAGCCUGAUCCAGCAAUGCCGCGUGAGUGAUGAAGGCCUUCGGGUCGUAAAGCUCUUUUACCAGGGAUGAUAAUGACAGUACCUGGAGAAUAAGCUCCGGCUAACUCCGUG
This 428-nucleotide ribosomal RNA is filed under the name uncultured bacterium. RNAcentral's name for it is "bacterial SSU rRNA". It matches the Rfam family "Bacterial small subunit ribosomal RNA", at positions 33 to 507 of the family's 1533-position model. The record is from RNAcentral.